ACUGGAGGCUCUCAGACUGAGGAGCUGCAGGUUGUCAGAGAUCAGCUGUUCUGAUCUGAUCUCAGCUCUGAUGUCCAACCCCUCCCAUCUGAGAGAUCUGGACGUGAGUGAGAACGCUCUGCAGGACUCAGGAGUGGAGCUGCUGAGAGAUCUUCUGGAGAGUCCAGACUGCAGACUGGACACUCUCAGACUGAGGGGCUGCAGGUUGUCAGGGAUCAGCUGUUCUGCUCUGAUCUCAGCUCUGAAGUCCA
Trematomus bernacchii (emerald rockcod) is the source of this 251-nucleotide long non-coding RNA. RefSeq lists it as uncharacterized. The record is from RefSeq and is a predicted model, not a curated record. The transcript has 3 exons. Lineage: Eukaryota; Metazoa; Chordata; Actinopteri; Perciformes; Nototheniidae.